This 468-nucleotide ribosomal RNA is filed under the name uncultured bacterium. Its description in RNAcentral is "partial 16S ribosomal RNA". It matches the Rfam family "Bacterial small subunit ribosomal RNA", at positions 28 to 507 of the family's 1533-position model. The record is from RNAcentral.
GACGAACGCUGGCGGCGUGCUUAACACAUGGAAGUCGAACGGAAAGGCCCUGCUUUUGUGGGGUGCUCGAGUGGCGAACGGGUGAGUAACACGUGAGUAACCUGCCCUUGACUUUGGGAUAACUUCAGGAAACUGGGGCUAAUACCGGAUAGGAGCUCCUGCUGCAUGGUGGGGGUUGGAAAGUUUCGGCGGUUGGGGAUGGACUCGCGGCUUAUCAGCUUGUUGGUGGGGUAGUGGCUUACCAAGGCUUUGACGGGUAGCCGGCCUGAGAGGGUGACCGGCCACAGUGGGACUGAGAUACGGCCCAGACUCCUACGGGAGGCAGCAGUGGGGAAUAUUGCACAAUGGGCGGAAGCCUGAUGCAGCAACGCCGCGUGCGGGAUGACGGCCUUCGGGUUGUAGACCGCUUUCGCCUGUGACGAAGCGUGAGUGACGGUAAUGGGUAAAGAAGCACCGGCUAACUACGUG